RNAcentral lists this ribosomal RNA (253 nucleotides) under uncultured bacterium. RNAcentral describes it as "partial 16S ribosomal RNA". It matches the Rfam family "Bacterial small subunit ribosomal RNA", at positions 524 to 776 of the family's 1533-position model. The record is from RNAcentral.
UACGGAGGGGGCAAGCGUUAUUCGGAAUUAUUGGGCGUAAAGCGUCCGUAGGUGGUUUAGUAAGUCUGCUGUUAAAGCGCGGGACUUAACUCCGUAUCGGCAGUGGAAACUACUAGACUAGAGUGUGGUAGGGGUAGAGGGAAUUCCCAGUGUAGCGGUGAAAUGCGUAGAUAUUGGGAAGAACACCGGUGGCGAAGGCGCUCUACUGGGCCAUAACUGACACUGAUGGACGAAAGCUAGGGGAGCGAAAGGG